UUUGUGUUUUAAUAAAACAACUUUCUGUACUUGAAAACUGUCUCCUGCUUUUUGCAAAACCGUACGUGUGUCUUGACUUUUGAUUUUCUGGGUGAAAGUUAUUGGUUGUUGGUGACAACCAAACUUUAAUGUUAUAGCCCCAGAAGAUCACCACUUGCCACAACAGGAAGCCCACACCUAUGGAGAGUAGCAACAGUGCUGAACUUCCUCCACUUGGAGACCAUCUGUUUUUACCGUGGACACAUCAAGGGCAGGGCACAUCCAAUCUCAUCCCAUUGAGUGGACUCCAGGGUGGCUGACACCUGGCUCCAACUAGGGGGUUCACAAACUCUUUCCACCCUGCACUGUGGAUGUUUACAUGCUGUGUUCAAUAAAACCAUGCAAACAUAAUUUUUUUGUGUGGUAUAAGUUGAAGCAGACUGUGUUUAUCUAUUGUUGUGAGUUUGAUGAAGAUCAGAACAUUUAAUGACCAAUUUAUGCAGAAACCCAAGAAAUCCCAAAGGAUUCACAUACUUUUUCAUCCGACUAUAUAUUUUUUUCCCUCGCAGACAUUGAUUCAUAUCAAACCGUUCCUGUUUUAUGUUGAUGAGGAAUCUCGAUUGUCUUUAGUUGCUUGAAUGAUGAGAAUGUAUUACUUUCUUCAAAGUCUCAAUUUGACAAAGUAACUGCUUUAAAAUGAUUUGGUAAAGAAGUUAGGUCAUGACUAACAGAGGCACAGCUCAAACACUGCUGCUCUGCGUGACGUGGUUCAAAAAUGGAAAUCAGCCAAUGUAGCUUGUUGAGCAUAAACUGGUUCAUGAAGGUGUUCAUGUUUAAGUCUGUGCACGCCAUCCUGCUGAUCAGGGAGAUGGGUUCUGUGUUCCUGAGAUGAACAUAAAUUGGUGCAAACUAUCAACCUCAAAAGUGAAGAUGCUAAAGCCGGUUUAGCAAUUCAAAAAAUAAAAAGCCUGAACAUCUCUAACAGAACCAUACAACCUGUUUUUAUUGAUCUUAUUUAACAAAUUAUACAUCAACACCGCAGGUUGGGG
Molecule: long non-coding RNA, 1028 nt
Organism: Austrofundulus limnaeus
Lineage: Eukaryota; Metazoa; Chordata; Actinopteri; Cyprinodontiformes; Rivulidae
Exons: 2
Source: RefSeq, a predicted model, not a curated record